CCUCGAGAGCGCGGGUUCACGCGAGUCGCACUUGUAUUUGAUAGGGGCGCGUGCUGGCGGUGUCAACAUCACAGGAUUUUAAUUGACUUUUGGAGAUGAGCUGGAGUACACAAAGGAGCCACCAAAUGCUAUCAAGAACUCAUCAGCCCAGACGUUUUGUCCACGCGCGUGGUUUUAGCUGUCAACUUGGAUAUUGUAAAACAAAAUCAUCCUUAAUGUUCUGCAGAAAAAGUCACCAACAUCAUAGACGGCCUGAUGAGCUUUGCCAAGUGGAUUCGUGUUUAAUUGGUCCCUUGAUGCCACAUUGGACAGGUACUUGGACGGAAAAAAUGGGGUUUUAUGACACAAUGGAGAGCAAACGCUGGCAGAAUUUACACACUUGGAUUGAACUAUUCCUUCAAG
Long non-coding RNA from Danio rerio (zebrafish), 402 nucleotides. The record is from Ensembl. NCBI's taxonomy places the organism in Eukaryota, Metazoa, Chordata, Actinopteri, Cypriniformes, Danionidae.